This 802-nucleotide ribosomal RNA is filed under the name Hypomyces mycophilus. RNAcentral describes it as "LSU rRNA". It matches the Rfam family "Eukaryotic large subunit ribosomal RNA", at positions 99 to 927 of the family's 3401-position model. The record is from RNAcentral. Lineage: Eukaryota; Fungi; Ascomycota; Sordariomycetes; Hypocreales; Hypocreaceae.
CGGCAACAGCUCAAAUUUGAAAUCUGGUCCCCUCUGGGGGCCCGAGUUGUAAUUUGUAGAGGAUGCUUUUGGUGCGGCGCCAGCUGAGUUCCCUGGAACGGGACGCCAUAGAGGGUGAGAGCCCCGUCACGCUGGACGCUAAGCCUCUGUAAAGCUCCUUCGACGAGUCGAGUAGUUUGGGAAUGCUGCUCAAAUUGGGAGGUAUAUGUCUUCUAAAGCUAAAUACCGGCCAGAGACCGAUAGCGCACAAGUAGAGUGAUCGAAAGAUGAAAAGCACUUUGAAAAGAGAGUUAAACAGUACGUGAAAUUGUUGAAAGGGAAGCGCUCAUGACCAGACUUGGGCUGGGAGAAUCAUCCGGCGUUCUCGCCGGUGCACUUCGCCCUGCCCAGGCCAGCAUCAGUUCGUCGCGGGGGACAAAAGCUUCGGGAACGUGGCUCCUCCGGGAGUGUUAUAGCCCGUUGCAUAAUACCCUGCGGUGGACUGAGGUUCGCGCAUCUGCAAGGAUGCUGGCGUAAUGGUCAUCAGCGACCCGUCUUGAAACACGGACCAAGGAGUCGUCUUCGUAUGCGAGUGUUCGGGUGUCAAACCCCUACGCGUAAUGAAAGUGAACGCAGGUGAGAGCUUCGGCGCAUCAUCGACCGAUCCUGAUGUUCUCGGAUGGAUUUGAGUAAGAGCAUACGGGGCCGGACCCGAAAGAAGGUGAACUAUGCCUGUAUAGGGUGAAGCCAGAGGAAACUCUGGUGGAGGCUCGCAGCGGUUCUGACGUGCAAAUCGAUCGUCAAAUAUGGGCAUGGGGGCGAA